ACUCAAAUGAAUUGACGGGGACCCGCACAAGCAGCGGAGCAUGUGGUUUAAUUCGACGAAACGCGAAGAACCUUACCUGGGUUUGACAUGUGCCUGACCGCCGUGGAAACACGGCUUCCUCUUUGAGGCAGGUUCACAGGUGGUGCAUGGCUGUCGUCAGCUCGUGUCGUGAGAUGUUGGGUUAAGUCCCGCAACGAGCGCAACCCCCGUCGCAUGUUGCCAGCAUUUAGUUGGGGACUCAUGCGAGACUGCCGGUGACAAACCGGAGGAAGGUGGGGAUGACGUCAAGUCCUCAUGCCCCUUAUGUCCAGGGCUACACACGUGCUACAUUGGCCGGUACAAAGGGCUGCGAUACCGUGAGGUGGAGCGAAUCCCAUAAAGCCGGUCUCGGUUCGGAUUGGAGGCUGAAACUCGCCUCCAUGAAGGUGGAGUUGCUAGUAAUCCCGGAUCAGCAACGCCGGGGUGAAUACGUUCCCGGGUCUUGUACACACCGCCCGU
This 498-nucleotide ribosomal RNA is filed under the name uncultured bacterium. Its description in RNAcentral is "partial 16S ribosomal RNA". It matches the Rfam family "Bacterial small subunit ribosomal RNA", at positions 899 to 1397 of the family's 1533-position model. The record is from RNAcentral.